UACAGAGGGGGCAAGCGUUGUUCGGAAUUACUGGGCGUAAAGGGCGCGUAGGCGGCCUCUUAAGUCGAACGUGAAAUCCCCGGGCUUAACCCGGGAACUGCGUCCGAUACUGGGAGGCUUGAAUUCGGGAGAGGGAUGCGGAAUUCCAGGUGUAGCGGUGAAAUGCGUAGAUAUCUGGAGGAACACCGGUGGCGAAGGCGGCAUCCUGGACCGACAUUGACGCUGAUGCGCGAAAGCCAGGGGAGCGAGCAGG
This 253-nucleotide ribosomal RNA is filed under the name uncultured bacterium. RNAcentral's name for it is "partial 16S ribosomal RNA". It matches the Rfam family "Bacterial small subunit ribosomal RNA", at positions 524 to 776 of the family's 1533-position model. The record is from RNAcentral.